GGGCCGGUAGCUCAGGGGUAGAGCAGCAGACUUUUAAUCUGCGGGCCGUGGGUUCGAUUCCCACCCGGCUCA
This 72-nucleotide transfer RNA is filed under the name Kiritimatiellia bacterium. RNAcentral describes it as "Kiritimatiellae bacterium (wastewater metagenome) tRNA-Lys". It matches the Rfam family "tRNA". Rfam says of the family: Transfer RNA (tRNA) molecules are approximately 80 nucleotides in length. Their secondary structure includes four short double-helical elements and three loops (D, anti-codon, and T loops). The record is from RNAcentral. Lineage: Bacteria; Pseudomonadati; Kiritimatiellota; Kiritimatiellia.